Molecule: ribosomal RNA, 466 nt
Filed under: uncultured bacterium
Lineage: Bacteria
Description: partial 16S ribosomal RNA
Rfam family: Bacterial small subunit ribosomal RNA
Source: RNAcentral
GAUGAACGCUGGCGGCGUGCUUAACACAUGCAAGUCGAACGAUGAAGCCCAGAUUGUGGGGUGGAUUCGUGGCGAACGGGCGAGUAACACGCGCGUAACUUGCCCUUCUCUAUGGCUUAAGUAUGGGAGAGUGGCUCUAAUACAGGACAGGAGAGAUCACCGACUGCAGGGUGUUGUAAUGAUUUAUCGGUUUUGGAUGGCCUCUCGGCGUAUCCGCUUGUUGGUGAGGUAGUGGUUCACUAACGCGACGCCGGGGAGACGGCCUGGGAGGGUGACCGGACACACUGGGACUACGAGACGGCCCAGACUGCAACGGGCGGCAGCAGGGGGAAAUAUUGCGCAGUGGGCGAAAGCCAGAGACGGCGGCGCCGCGUGAGGGAUGACGGCCUACGAGUGAUGAACCACUGUCAAUAGAAAAGAAGCGAAAUUGACGGUACCUGCAGAGGAAGCACCGGCUAACUACGUG